RNAcentral lists this ribosomal RNA (592 nucleotides) under Skeletonema ardens. RNAcentral describes it as "LSU rRNA". It matches the Rfam family "Eukaryotic large subunit ribosomal RNA", at positions 65 to 672 of the family's 3401-position model. The record is from RNAcentral. Lineage: Eukaryota; Bacillariophyta; Thalassiosirophyceae; Thalassiosirales; Thalassiosiraceae.
CUAACAAGGAUUCCCCUAGUAACGGCGAGUGAAGCGGGAUGAGCUCAGUAUGUUAAUCGACGUGUCAUAGCGUUGAAUUGUGGUUUAUAGAAGCAUUGUCGGCCGUGAAUCCGGGCCAAGUCUCUUGGAAAAGGGCAGCUGAGUGGGUGAAACUCCCGUUCUUGCCUGGAAUCAUUGCGCUCUAGCACAUGCUUUCUACGAGUCGAGUUGCUUGGGAUUGCAGCUCAAAUUUGGUGGUAAAUUCCAUCUAAAGCUAAAUAUUGGUGGGACACCGAUAGUGUACAAGUACCGUGAGGGAAAGAUGCAAAGAACUUUGAAAAGAGAGUUAAAGAGUACCUGAAAUUGUUAAAAGGGAAGCGAAUGAAACAAGUGUAAAGCGAAUCCAUUCUUCCUAAGCCACUUGUGGUUUGGGCGCUGUGGUUAGCUGUACUCAUGCUGGGCUUGACUUGGGGCAAACGUUUAGUGAGUAGACGACUCCUCGGAGUGAGUGCUCACUUUUCAUAUCCUGGGUCGGGCUGAGGUCAGUCACUCUGUGCUCGUGAUGCAUGAGGAAAUUGUUUUAUUUACCCCGUCUUGAAACACGGACCAAGGA